UACGGAGGGUGCAAGCGUUAAUCGGAAUUACUGGGCGUAAAGCGCGCGUAGGCGGAUUGUUAAGUUGGAUGUGAAAGCUCGGGGCUCAACCUGAGAACUGCAUUCAAAACUGGAAAGCUAGAGUACGGUAGAGGGUGGUGGAAUUUGCUGUGUAGCGGUGAAAUGCGUAGAUAUAGGAAGGAACACCAGUGGCGAAGGCGACCACCUGGACUGAUACUGACACUGAGGUGCGAAAGCGUGGGGAGCAAACAGG
This 253-nucleotide unclassified non-coding RNA is filed under the name uncultured Pseudomonadaceae bacterium. RNAcentral's name for it is "contains 16S-23S intergenic spacer region". It matches the Rfam family "Bacterial small subunit ribosomal RNA", at positions 524 to 776 of the family's 1533-position model. The record is from RNAcentral. Lineage: Bacteria; Pseudomonadati; Pseudomonadota; Gammaproteobacteria; Pseudomonadales; Pseudomonadaceae.